GAUGAAGAACGCAGCGAAAUGCGAUAAGUAAUGUGAAUUGCAGAAUUCAGUGAAUCAUCGAAUCUUUGAACGCAUCUUGCGCUCCUUGGUAUUCUGAGGAGCAUGCCUGUUUGAGUGUCAUUAAAUUCUCAACUACACUGACUUUGAAUUGGUGUGGCUUGGAUUUGGGGGGAAAAUUGUUGUGGGCUUUUUGUAUAGUCUGCUCCCCUGAAAUUGAAUAGCGGUACCUUUGUGGAACUGUCUACAGGUGUGAUAAUUAUCUACAUCUUAGACAUCUGCUGGAAUGCUGCUUUCUAAACCUUACUUGUAUUGACAAUCUUGACCUCAAAUCAGGUAGGACUACCCGCUGAACUUAAGCAUAUCAAUAAGCGGAGGA
This 376-nucleotide unclassified non-coding RNA is filed under the name soil metagenome. RNAcentral's name for it is "partial contains 5.8S ribosomal RNA, internal transcribed spacer 2, and large subunit ribosomal RNA". The stretch from base 1 to 120 matches the Rfam family "5.8S ribosomal RNA", at positions 35 to 154 of the family's 154-position model. The record is from RNAcentral.